GCAGCGAUGGCUCAGUGGGAAAAGCGCCAGAUGGGAGAUAGUGAUUACUCCGAGACCCAUUAUCUGCGCGGGUUCGAAUCCCACCUGUGGCA
Non-coding RNA from Aromia moschata, 92 nucleotides. NCBI's taxonomy places the organism in Eukaryota, Metazoa, Arthropoda, Insecta, Coleoptera, Cerambycidae. The record is from the annotation of a GenBank genome assembly.